UUCGGACCUAGAGACCGGCGCACGGGUGCGUAACGCGUAUGCAAUCUACCUUUUACAGAGGGAUAGCCCAGAGAAAUUUGGAUUAAUACCUCAUAGUAUAAUGACUCGGCAUCGAGAUAUUAUUAAAGUCACAACGGUAAAAGAUGAGCAUGCGUCCCAUUAGCUUGUUGGUAAGGUAACGGCUUACCAAGGCAACGAUGGGUAGGGGUCCUGAGAGGGAGAUCCCCCACACUGGUACUGAGACACGGACCAGACUCCUACGGGAGGCAGCAGUGAGGAAUAUUGGUCAAUGGGCGCAAGCCUGAACCAGCCAUGCCGCGUGCAGGAUGAAGCAUCUAUGGUGUGUAAACUGCUUUUGUACGAGAAGAAACACUCCUUCGUGAAGGAGCUUGACGGUAUCGUAAGAAUAAGGACCGGCUAACUCCGUGCCAGCAGCCGCGGUAAUACGGAGGGUCCAAGUGUUAUCCGGAAUCAUUGGGUUUAAAGGGUCCGUAGGCGGUUUUGUAAGUCAGUGGUGAAAGCCCAUCGCUCAACGGUGGAACGGCCAUUGAUACUGCAAGACUUGAAUUAUUAGGAAGUAACUAGAAUAUGUAGUGUAGCGGUGAAAUGCUUAGAGAUUACAUGGAAUACCAAUUGCGAAGGCAGGUUACUACUAAUAUAUUGACGCUGAUGGACGAAAGCGUGGGGAGCGAACAGGAUUAGAUACCCUGGUAGUCCACGCCGUAAACGAUGGAUACUAGCUGUUCGGAGCAAUCUGAGUGGCUA
Molecule: ribosomal RNA, 765 nt
Filed under: uncultured bacterium
Lineage: Bacteria
Description: bacterial SSU rRNA
Rfam family: Bacterial small subunit ribosomal RNA
Source: RNAcentral